GAGGGUGACCGGCCACACUGGGACUGAGACACGGCCCAGACUCCUACGGGAGGCAGCAGUAGGGAAUUUUCGGCAAUGGGGGGAACCCUGACCGAGCAACGCCGCGUGAAGGAAGAAGGAAUUCGCUCUGUAAACUUCUCUUAUAAAGGAAGAACGGCGGAUAUAGGGAAUGGUAUCCGAGGACGGUACUUUAUGAGAAAGCC
This 203-nucleotide ribosomal RNA is filed under the name uncultured Mollicutes bacterium. Its description in RNAcentral is "partial 16S ribosomal RNA". It matches the Rfam family "Bacterial small subunit ribosomal RNA", at positions 296 to 492 of the family's 1533-position model. The record is from RNAcentral. Lineage: Bacteria; Bacillati; Mycoplasmatota; Mollicutes.